RNAcentral lists this ribosomal RNA (253 nucleotides) under uncultured bacterium. RNAcentral's name for it is "partial 16S ribosomal RNA". It matches the Rfam family "Bacterial small subunit ribosomal RNA", at positions 524 to 776 of the family's 1533-position model. The record is from RNAcentral.
UACGGGGGGGGCAAGCGUUGUUCGGAAUUACUGGGCGUAAAGGGCUCGUAGGCGGCCAACUAAGUCAGACGUGAAAUCCCUCGGCUUAACCGGGGAACUGCGUCUGAUACUGGAUGGCUUGAGUUUGGGAGAGGGAUGCGGAAUUCCAGGUGUAGCGGUGAAAUGCGUAGAUAUCUGGAGGAACACCGGUGGCGAAGGCGGCAUCCUGGACCGACACUGACACUGAGGAGCGAAAGCCAGGGGAGCAAACGGG